UUGCCUACGGGGGGCAGCAGUGGGGAAUAUUGCACAAUGGGGGGAACCCUGAUGCAGCAAUGCCGCGUGGGUGAAGAAGCACUCCGGUGCGUAAAGCCCUGUCAGCAGGGAAGAAAAUGACAGUACCUGACCAAGAAGCCCCGGCUAACUACGUGCCAGCAGCCGCGGUAAUACGUAGGGGGCAAGCGUUAUCCGGAUUUACUGGGUGUAAAGGGAGCGUAGACGGUGCAGCAAGUCUGAUGUGAAAGGUCGGGGCCCAACCCCGGGACUGCAUUGGAAACUGUUGAACUGGAGUACAGGAGAGG
RNAcentral lists this ribosomal RNA (305 nucleotides) under uncultured bacterium. Its description in RNAcentral is "bacterial SSU rRNA". It matches the Rfam family "Bacterial small subunit ribosomal RNA", at positions 335 to 657 of the family's 1533-position model. The record is from RNAcentral.